This 480-nucleotide ribosomal RNA is filed under the name uncultured bacterium. RNAcentral's name for it is "partial 16S ribosomal RNA". It matches the Rfam family "Bacterial small subunit ribosomal RNA", at positions 28 to 507 of the family's 1533-position model. The record is from RNAcentral.
GACGAACGCUGGCGGCGUGCUUAACACAUGCAAGUCGAACGAUGAAGAAAAGAAUCGAAGCUUCGGCAGAAAUUCAUUUCGGAUUAGUGGCAGACGGGUGAGUAACGCGUGAGCAACCUACCUCUUACAAAGGGAUAGCCUCGGGAAACCGGGAUUAAUACCAUAUAACAUUGUGACGAAGCAUUUCGAUGCAAUCAAAGCUACGGCGGUAAGAGAUGGGCUCGCGUCCCAUUAACCGGAUGGUGAGGUAACGGCUCACCAUAGUGACGAUGGGUAACCGGCCUGAGAGGGUGAACGGUCACACUGGAACUGAGACACGGUCCAGACUCCUACGGGAGGCAGCAGUGGGGAAUAUUGCACAAUGGAGGGAACUCUGAUGCAGCGACGCCGCGUGAGUGAUGAAGGAAUUCGUUUCGUAAAACUCUGCUCUAUGGGAAGAAAAGGACUGUACCAUAGGAGAAAGCUCCGGCUAAAUACGUG